AGAGUUUGAUUCUGGCUCAGGAUGAACGCUAGCGGCAGGCCUAAUACAUGCAAGUCGAGGGGCAGCAGGGGUAGCAAUACUCGCUGGCGACCGGCGCACGGGUGCGUAACACGUAUGCAACUUUCCUUCAACUGGAAGAUAGCCCGAAGAAAUUCGGAUUAAUAUUCCAUAGUUAUAUGAAAUGGCAUCAUUUUAUAUUUAAAGCUCAGCGGUUGAAGAUGGGCAUGCGUUCGAUUAGCUAGUUGGUGAGGUAAUGGCUCACCAAGGCUACGAUCGAUAGGGGAUCUGAGAGGAUUAACCCCCACACUGGUACUGAGACACGGACCAGACUCCUACGGGAGGCAGCAGUAAGGAAUAUUGGACAAUGGAGGCAACUCUGAUCCAGCCAUGCCGCGUGAAGGAUGAAGGUCCUAUGGAUUGUAAACUUCUUUUGAACGGGAGAAAACCUUCGGUCGUGUACCGAAGCUGAUAGUACCGUUAGAAUAAGGGUCGGCUAACUUCGUGCCAGCAGCCGCGGUAAUACGAAGGACCCGAGCGUUAUCCGGAUUUAUUGGGUUUAAAGGGUGCGUAGGCGGAAUGGUAAGUCAGUGGUGAAAUCUUGUGGCUUAACUGCAAAACUGCCAUUGAUACUGCCAAUCUUGAGUACAUUUGAUGUGGGCGGAAUGUGCCAUGUAGUGGCGAAAUACUUAGAUAUGGCACAGAACACCGAUCGCGAAGGCAGCUCACAAAACUGUUACUGACGCUGAGGCACGAAAGCGUGGGGAUCAAACAGGAUUAGAUACCCUGGUAGUCCACGCCUUAAACUAUGAUUACUCGAUGUGUGCGAUACACAGUACGCGUCUAAGCGAAAGCGUUAAGUAAUCCACCUGGGGAGUACGGUCGCAAGAUUGAAACUCAAAGAAAUUGACGGGGGCCCGCACAAGCGGAGGAGCAUGUGGUUUAAUUCGAUGAUACGCGAGGAACCUUACCUGGGCUUGAAAGUUAGUGAAUGCUGUGGAAACAUGGCAGGCCGCAAGGACACGAAACUAGGUGCUGCAUGGCUGUCGUCAGCUCGUGCCGUGAGGUGUUGGGUUAAGUCCCGCAACGAGCGCAACCCCUAUCUUUAGUUGCCAGCGAGUAAUGUCGGGGACUCUAAAGAAACUGCCCGUGCAAACGGUGAGGAAGGUGGGGAUGACGUCAAGUCAGCACGGCCCUUACGUCCAGGGCUACACACGUGCUACAAUGGCGAGUACAAAGGGCAGCUACAUGGUGACAUGAUGCUAAUCUCUAAAACUCGUCUCAGUUCGGAUUGAAGUCUGCAAUUCGACUUCAUGAAGCUGGAUUCGCUAGUAAUCGAAUAUCAGCAAUGAUUCGGUGAAUACGUUCCCGGGCCUUGUACACACCGCCCGUCAAACAAUGGAAGCUGAGGGUACUUAAAGUCGAUAACCGCAAGGAGUCGCCUAGGGUAAAAUCGGUAACU
Molecule: ribosomal RNA, 1459 nt
Filed under: metagenome
Description: bacterial SSU rRNA
Rfam family: Bacterial small subunit ribosomal RNA
Source: RNAcentral